Molecule: long non-coding RNA, 513 nt
Filed under: Phoenix dactylifera (date palm)
Lineage: Eukaryota; Viridiplantae; Streptophyta; Magnoliopsida; Arecales; Arecaceae
Description: long non-coding RNA (PDAC_LNC019562)
Source: RNAcentral
GAGAAAGAAAAUUUCAGAGGGAGAGAUCAUAUAGAACUUAAUCGUAUAAAUUCGCAUCUAAAGAUGAGACAAAGAAUACUAAAUGUAAAGUGGUAUUAAACUUUGUGCUUCAUUGAAUAUCUUUUGAAAGUUGGAUUUCCAUCUGUAUUCAUCGGUAAAUCAUUUAUUUCUGAAAAUUAAUUGACAAGGAUUCCGUCUGUCUUAGUAUCGAAAAUUUAUCUUGCAAUCUACUUAUGAGUUCUUAUUGGCUUGCACCUUAGUGUUUCAAUCCUGAGCCAAUUCAUUUUAAUUGAUUUUGAUGUUAUGAUCUUUAAAGGAGUAAAAGAAAGUCCUUAAGAGAGCUCUAAAAGAACUUUCAAAGCCUUGAAUUUUAUGUAUCCUACACUGCAUAGAUUCAUGUUUUGGUAUCUAUGCCCCAAUACUUUUUUAUCAUGAAAGAACUUUAAAGUCAUUAAGAAUUAAGGAUUCAACAUAAUCUUAUGUUUUUCAAGUAUAUAAGGUUUGAUCUUUAUU